UUCACCGUGUUAGCCAGGAUGGUCUCGAUCUCCUGACCUCUUGAUCCGCCCGCCUCGGCCUCCCAAAGUGCUGGGAUUACUGGGAUGCCUUUUUAAUGCCUCUUUAAAGAAAGGGGCAGAUGGAGGACAGAGCUGAAAAAAUAUUAUAUAUUAUUAUUAACUCAUAUUUUCCAAGUCUUAGGCUUAGAGAGAGAACACAAAUACACAAAACUUUGAUAUCAUGUUCUCUUCAGAAACAAAAAAAGAGAUUGGUUUUUUAAUCAUUUAUAACGGUGGGCAGAAUUUCCUUCAAUCUGUUGUGAUUUUUUGUGGCAAAGUCUUUAAAAUUUGACCCGGCAAAAGAUUGAAGGUAAGAAUAAAAGACAAAACAAAAUGAAACAAACAAAAAAACACUUCUAUUAUUUCCUUUUCCUUUGUUCAUUUGGAGAGCCACAGAGCUGGGAACUUGUAUUUCUGGGCAUCAAGGAAAUAAGGCAGUGAACUUUGAAUUUUCCCAGACUUCAGAGUCACUUGCUAUUUAUCAGAUUAAAUACAAUUGCCUUAGAAGGAAAUAAUUUAUAUUACCUGGGCAUGGCAAGUUGUGUGGCUUAGAACAAGCCAGGUUAUCCUCAGCAAUGAUAGGAGUCAAAAAUUACACAACAAAGAGCUUUACAACAAAGUUUUUUCAAGUUUUUAUCAUUUCUAUAAUGUGUUCCCUUGUGAAUCCCUAAUCCCUAAUAUCCUUGUAGCUCUUUUCGAAAGACAUACUAGUACUUUGAAUAACAGCAUCAAAAAUCAUUAUUGAAAUUUUUUUCUUUUUUUUUUUUUUUGUUCUAGGGGCCUCACAUUCAGAUCUAAAGAGACAUAUGGAGCUCUGGGGGUAGUGCGCUGGCUGCUUAGGAAUAGGCAGAUAAAAAAACCAAGGCACAGAACAAGUUAGUGGCAGAACAAAGAUUCCAAUGAAGACCUCUUUGACUCUGAUCCUGUGUUCUCACUGCCUCUUGUACUGCCUCUCCGAAACUCGGGAUAUGUUGUCCACUCCAGAAGUCUGAGGUGAGACUGCAGGAAUAUGAGCUCCUCUCCAGAUGCAGGGACCCCAGGUGAGGUAACAUGGCAAGUGCGGAGCACCAGAGCAGGUGCUACCAGGGCUGAGUUUUCAUGUUUAUUUAUUUAUUUGUUUUUGAGACAGAGUCUUGCUCUGUUGCCCAGGCUGGAGUACGUGGUACAAUCACAGCUCACUGCAGCCUCAAAUUUCUGGGCUCAAACAGUCCUCCUACUUCAUCCUCUGGAGUAGCUGGGACUACAAGUGCAUGCCACCAUGCCCUGCUAAUUUUUAAAUUUUUUGGCGUCAAGAUCUUACUAUGUUGUCCAGGCUGAUCUUGAACUCUUGAGCCCAAGUGAUCCUCCAGCCUCAGCCUACCAAAGUGCUGGGAGCCAUCUUGCCCAGAUGGGAUGAGUUUUCAUUCUUCCUCCACAACUCUCUGUGUGCUCCUGGGGAGGUCACUGAAUCUUUCUAAGCCUUAGUUUCUUCAUUCAUAGCAGGGAAAAUAGCUGCUCUACAUACCUCAGGCAAUCAUCAUGGGGUCAAAUAAGAAAACAAGUGAAACAUUUUGAAAACUGUAGUAGGCAUUUGUAAGCUCUAUAGAGGCAUGGAUUUUUGUCAGUUUGUUCACUCUUGGAGCCCUAGCAUCUAAAACAAUGCCUGAAUCAUGAUGAGUCCACAAUACAAAUUUAUUGAAUGAAUGCACAUGAUAAAGGAACUCACCUUUUCACUUUAAACUAUUCAAGAUUAUGGUAAUCAAUUAUAUUCUAUUUUACAAAAGGAGAACACUAAUUUUUUUUUUUUUUUUUCUGAGAUGGAGUUUUGCUCUUGUUGCCCAGGCUGGAGUGCAGUGGCGCGAUCUCGGCUCACUGCAACCUCCACCUCCCGGGUUGAAGCCAUUCUGCUACCUCAGCCUCCCGAGUAGCUGGGAUUACAGGCAUGCACCACCAAGCCUGGCUAAUUUUGUAUUUUGGUAGAGAUGUGGUUCCUCCAUGUUGGUCAGGCUGGUCUUGAACUCCCGAACUCAGGUGAUCCACCUGCCUCAGCCUCCCAAAGUGGUGGGAUUACAGGCCUGAACCACCACGCCCAGCCAGAGAACACUCAUUUUAUAUAACUUCUAGAGUCACUGUUUCUCAGAGCUGGAAGGGAGCUUAAUGAGUACAUGAUCCAGCCUUGCAGGUUGAUGAACACCUUGACUCUGUCCUUGCCAGGUGCUUAUCCAGCCUGUUCCAGAUCAUAGCCACCAAGGGGGAACUCUCUGGACAACCUGGCAGAAGUUCCCCUCACUCAGCUGAAACCUGCCUCCACCUGAGGCCACAGAGCAAGUCUCCCUGGGCUUCUGGGUCUUCAGACAUUUGGAGACAGUUAUUAUCUCUCCCUGCCCUCAGAUUUAUCAUGUCCAGGCUAAAUGGAUGAUUUCUCACUUAUAAACGUAAGGCAUUUAAUAAUUACAUUUCUUGAUAAUAAAAUAAGGAAAAAUUUAGGGUUUUUAAACAAAAAAUUGCAUUGGUAUAUGUCUGCUGUUACCCACAGGGGGCCCUUGUUUGCAAAGCUUGAUAUUGCUGGACCCACCUAUUGGUAGACAUCUGAAAAAUUUCUGCAAAUGUGAAAUAAAUAUUAAGGUCCAGAGAGAAUAACUGUAUUUUGUAAUAUCUGUAAUAUAGCUGUGUAUUUUAUCAUAUCUGCCUUUAUAUAAUAUAAUGAUAAAUAUAAAUAUCAUUGCAGCAAUAGUUAUAGUAGAAAAAAAUCUGGAGUCCACCUAAGUGUCUAUUAAUAAUGAGAUAGUUAAAUAAAUUAUGGUGUCUACUCAGCCAUUAACAGUUGAUGUUUGGAUUCAGGUGCAGUGGUGCCUGCCUGUAGUACUGGCUACUCAGGAGGCUGAGGUGGGAGGAUCACUUGAACCCAAGAAUUUAAGGUCAACUUAGGUAAUGUAGCAAGAACACCCUCUCAAAAAAGAGUUGAUGCUUAUAAAGUUAUAUAAUAAUAUAGAAAAUGCCUACAAUAUAAUGGAAUUAUGUGGGAAAAUCAAUAUACUCAUUUAAAGGUACCAUAUGAUAUGGUUUGGCUCUGUGUCCCCACCCAAAUUUCAUGGUGAAUUGUAAUUACCAGUGGGAGGUGGGAGGUGAUUGAAUCAUAGGGGUGAAUUUCCCCCUUGACUUUCUUGCGAUAGAGUUCUCACAAGAUCUGGUUGUUUGAAAGUAUGUAGCACCCCACCCCUUCUCUCUCUCUCUCCUGCUGGCCAUAUGAAGAUGUGCUUACUUCCUUUUCACCUUCUACCAUGAUUGUAAGUUUCCUGAGGCUUCCCCAGAAACAGAAGCCUGUACAGACCACAGAACCAUGAGCUGAUUAAACCUCUUUUCUUUACACAUUACCCUGUCUCAGGUAUGUCUUUACAGCAGUUUAAGAAUGGACUAAUACACCAUAUGGUUGCUAUGUAAACAGCCAUGUUUUACAACAGUCUUAAAGUAAAUGCAAUAUGUUAAGUAAAAUAAGCCUGAUAUAGAAAGACAAAUAUCUCAAUCUCUCACUCAUAUAUAGGAGCUUAAAAAAAAUUGAACUCAUGGAGAUAGAAAGCAGAAUGAUGGUUACCAGACACUGGGAAGGGUAGUAGGGAGAGAGGAUAAAGAGGAGUUGGUUAAUGGGCACAAAAAUACAGUUAGAUUUAAAAAAAAAAAAGAUCUAGUGCUCAGUAACCCAAUAGGGCAACUAUAGUUUACAAUAGCUUAUUGUAUAUUUCAAAAUAACUAAAAAGUAGAAUUAGAAUAUUCCUAACACAAAGAAAUGUUAAAUGCUUUAGGUGAUGGAUAUCCCAAUUACCCUGUUUGAUCAUUACAUAUUGACACACUGGUACCAAAUAUCACAUGUACCCUAUAAAUAUUUACAACUAUUAUGUAUCCAUAACAAUUAAAAAU
This is a long non-coding RNA of Gorilla gorilla gorilla (western lowland gorilla), 3933 nucleotides long. RefSeq lists it as uncharacterized. The transcript is spliced from 3 exons. The record is from RefSeq and is a predicted model, not a curated record. NCBI's taxonomy places the organism in Eukaryota, Metazoa, Chordata, Mammalia, Primates, Hominidae.